RNAcentral lists this ribosomal RNA (459 nucleotides) under uncultured bacterium. Its description in RNAcentral is "partial 16S ribosomal RNA". It matches the Rfam family "Bacterial small subunit ribosomal RNA", at positions 338 to 795 of the family's 1533-position model. The record is from RNAcentral.
CCUACGGGAGGCAGCAGUGAGGAAUAUUGGUCAAUGGUCGGGAGACUGAACCAGCCAAGCCGCGUGAGGGAGGAAGGUACAGAGUAUCGUAAACCUCUUUUGUCAGGGAACAAAGACUGGGACGCGUCCCCGGAUGAGUGUACCUGAAGAAACAGCAUCGGCUAACUCCGUGCCAGCAGCCGCGGUAAUAGGGGGGAUGCGAGCGUUAUCCGGAUUUAGUGGGUUUAAAGGGUGCGCAGGCGGUUUGUUAAGUCAGCGGUCAAAGCCCGGGGGUAAACCCCGUCCCGCCGUUGAAACUGGCAGUCGCGAGUUGGAGAGAGGGAUGCGGAAUGCGCGGGGUAGCGGUGAAAUGCAUAGAGAUCGCGCAGAACUCCGAUGGCGAAGGCAGCAUGCCGGCUCCACACUGACGCUGAGGCACGAAAGCGUGGGUAUCGAACAGGAUUAGAUACCCUGGUAGUC